CAGCCGCCGCGGUAAUGCGGAGGGGGCUAGCGUUGUUCGGAAUUACUGGGCGUAAAGCGCACGUAGGCGGCUUGGUAAGUUAGAGGUAAGAGCCCGGAGCUCAACUCCGGAAUUGCCUUUAAGACUGCCGAGCUAGUAGGUGAGAGAGGUAAGUGGAAUUCCGAGUGUAGAGGUGAAAUUCGUAGAUAUUCGGAAGAACACCAGUGGCGAAGGCGGCUUACUGGCUCAUUCUAGACGCUGAGGUGCGAAAGCGUGGGGAGCAAACAGGAUUAGAUACCCCCGUAGUCCCUGUCUCUUAUAC
This 301-nucleotide ribosomal RNA is filed under the name uncultured bacterium. Its description in RNAcentral is "partial 16S ribosomal RNA". It matches the Rfam family "Bacterial small subunit ribosomal RNA", at positions 509 to 807 of the family's 1533-position model. The record is from RNAcentral.